This 765-nucleotide ribosomal RNA is filed under the name fungal sp. RNAcentral's name for it is "eukaryotic LSU rRNA". The stretch from base 498 to 765 matches the Rfam family "Eukaryotic large subunit ribosomal RNA", at positions 1 to 263 of the family's 3401-position model. Lineage: Eukaryota; Fungi. The record is from RNAcentral.
UUACCGAGUGAGGGCCCUCUGGGUCCAACCUCCCACCCGUGUUUAUUUUACCUUGUUGCUUCGGCGAGCCUGCCUUUUGGCUGCCGGGGGACGUCUGUCCCCGGGUCCGCGCUCGCCGAAGACACCUUAGAACUCUGUCUGAAGAUUGUAGUCUGAGAUUAAAUAUAAAUUAUUUAAAACUUUCAACAACGGAUCUCUUGGUUCCGGCAUCGAUGAAGAACGCAGCGAAAUGCGAUACGUAAUGUGAAUUGCAGAAUUCAGUGAAUCAUCGAGUCUUUGAACGCACAUUGCGCCCUCUGGUAUUCCGGAGGGCAUGCCUGUCCGAGCGUCAUUGCUGCCCUCAAGCACGGCUUGUGUGUUGGGCUCCGUCCUCCUUCCGGGGGACGGGCCCGAAAGGCAGCGGCGGCACCGCGUCCGGUCCUCAAGCGUAUGGGGCUUUGUCACCCGCUUUGUAGGACUGGCCGGCGCCUGCCGAUCAACCAAACUUUUUUCCAGGUUGACCUCGGAUCAGGUAGGGAUACCCGCUGAACUUAAGCAUAUCAAUAAGCGGAGGAAAAGAAACCAACAGGGAUUGCCCCAGUAACGGCGAGUGAAGCGGCAAGAGCUCAAAUUUGAAAGCUGGCUCCUUCGGGGUCCGCAUUGUAAUUUGCAGAGGAUGCUUCGGGAGCGGUCCCCAUCUAAGUGCCCUGGGAACGGGACGUCAUAGAGGGUGAGAAUCCCGUAUGGGGAUGGGGUGUCCGCGCCCGUGUGAAGCUCCUUCGACGA